RNAcentral lists this ribosomal RNA (497 nucleotides) under uncultured bacterium. RNAcentral describes it as "partial 16S ribosomal RNA". It matches the Rfam family "Bacterial small subunit ribosomal RNA", at positions 28 to 507 of the family's 1533-position model. The record is from RNAcentral.
GGUGAACGCUGGCGGCGUGCCUAAUACAUGCAAGUCGAGCGAACAGAUGAGGAGCUUGCUCCUCUGACGUUAGCGGCGGACGGGUGAGUAACACGUGGAUAACCUACCUAUAAGACUGGGAUAACUUCGUGAAACCGGAGCUAAUACCGGAUAAUAUAUUGAACCGCAUGGUUCAAUAGUGAAAGACGGUUUUGCUGUCACUUAUAGAUGGAUCCGCGCCGCAUUAGCUAGUUGGUAAGGUAACGGCUUACCAAGGCAACGAUGCGUAGCCGACCUGAGAGGGUGAUCGGCCACACUGGAACUGAGACACGGUCCAGACUCCUACGGGAGGCAGCAGUAGGGAAUCUUCCGCAAUGGGCGAAAGCCUGACGGAGCAACGCCGCGUGAGUGAUGAAGGUCUUCGGAUCGUAAAACUCUGUUAUUAGGGAAGAACAAAUGUGUAAGUAACUAUGCACGUCUUGACGGUACCUAAUCAGAAAGCCACGGCUAACUACGUG